CAACUACCCAACAGACCGUGAUAACCUCGGGAAACUGAGGCUAAUAACGGAUAGCGCUCCCGAGCUUGAAUGCUGGGAGCGCCAAAGCUCCGGCGCUGUUGGAUGUGGCUGCGGCCGAUUAGGUAGACGGUGGGGUAACGGCCCACCGUGCCGAUAAUCGGUACGGGUUGUGAGAGCAAGAACCCGGAGACGGACUCUGAGACAAGAGUCCGGGCCCUACGGGGCGCAGCAGGCGCGAAACCUUUACACUGUACGCAAGUACGAUAGGGGGACACCGAGUGCGAGGGCACAGAGCCCUCGCUUUUGUACACCUUAAGGUGGUGCACGAAUAAGGGCUGGGCAAGACCGGUGCCAGCCGCCGCGGUAACACCGGCAGCCCAAGUGAUGGCCGCUAUUAUUGGGCCUAAAGCGUCCGUAGCUGGCCGUUCAGGUCCGUCGGGAAAUCCACUGGCUUAACCAGUGGGCGUCCGGCGGAAACCGUUCGGCUUGGAACAGGGAGACCAGAGGGGUACGUCCGGGGUAGGAGUGAAAUCCCGUAAUCCUGGACGGACCAUCGGUGGCGAAAGCGCCUCUGGAGAACUGAUUCGACAGUGAGGGACGAAAGCUGGGGUCUCGAACCGGAUUAGAUACCCGGGUAGUCCCAGCCGUAAACGAUGCUCGCUAGGUGUGUCGCAGGCUACGAGCCUGCGAUGUGC
This 695-nucleotide ribosomal RNA is filed under the name uncultured archaeon. RNAcentral describes it as "bacterial SSU rRNA". It matches the Rfam family "Archaeal small subunit ribosomal RNA", at positions 106 to 801 of the family's 1478-position model. The record is from RNAcentral.